RNAcentral lists this long non-coding RNA (857 nucleotides) under Sus scrofa (pig). RNAcentral describes it as "lncRNA (ENSSSCG00015038465.1)". The record is from RNAcentral. Lineage: Eukaryota; Metazoa; Chordata; Mammalia; Artiodactyla; Suidae.
AUGUUUGCCUUUUCACUUCCCUGCAAACAGCUAACUCUUUACGUUAAAUUCUCUCUGUUGGAUAAUUUGUGUGGUUUCUCUCUUUCGAGCUGGACUCUGACUGAAGCAGACAUGCCACCUUACGUCUUCCAUGAGAAGGACCGUAGGUUUCUGGCACAGUCCAAGUGUCCAGAGGAUUGUCAACACUCGUAUCAAUGGGCCCGUAGCUCCUGGAUUCCAGGGAGCUUUUCAAAUUGUGUAGAUUUCAAAGCAAUAAGUGGAGGUAAACCAAAGCAGACACAGGCCCUCCAACAAGCUUGUCAAGUUUGUCUCAAUGUGGAGAAGCAAAACCAAACUGACAGAUUCUUAACAAUCUGGACCAAUUUUCAAGAUCUCUCUCUUACAGCCAAAGGAAUUUGAAAUUUACACCAAUCCAAGGUUGUUUUGGAGACUAUUUUUGUGGACCAAAUUUACUCAGAAGUUUUAUGAAAACAGCUACACAUUCACUUCCAACUUGAACUAGUGAAGUGCUUUAAAAUCCUUUAAAUCUGAUAAACAAUGAGAUCCUGCUGUCUAGCCUUGGGAACUAUAUCUAGUCACUAUGACGGAACAUGACGGAGGAUCAUGUCAGAAGAUGAAGGGGACCAAUGAGAGUAUUGGGGACUAAAUGAUUCUCCCGCCAAAAUACCUCAUGUGAUGGUAGAAAUAACUGGAUACAGAUGAAAUCAUGGAAAUGGGACCUACAUGCAUAAGAGCAAGAAGAUAGCCAUUGACAAGCAGCAAGAGGGUCCUCACCAGAAGCUGAAUCUACUAGCACCUUGACCUUGGACUUCCUGGCCUACUGAACGCUGAGAAAUAAAAGUCUUAAGUCUGUGGUA